GGGCACAACACUAACCAAUUUCACUUAGCGCAGCGUGUGAUUUAGGGGCAUCAAUAAUAUUUGCUUUAACUGUAAAAUAUAAUAUAAUAAAUACGUAUUUGGAAAUGGUUCAAGCUGCUGUAGUCACAAAGUAUUCUUUGGUACCAAAGAAUUAGUCGAAUUGCGGUACUAGCUACCGAAAUACCAAAGGAGGUCAACAUCUGAAGCCAUUUAGUUAAUUAUGCAAGCUGCUUCCAGUAAACAUGUCAAUUGUAGAAUAUUUGAACAGAAGUCGGAUGGCUGGAUGGUCACCAUUCUAUGCAGUUGGACCAAACGCUUCAGAAGUAAAUAACUAAAUAGUUAUUCCCCACAGGGACUUAAGGCAAUGCGAAGAUCAAGCAUUUUGCCACAGAAAUUAGUUUUGUAUCCAACACCAGAAUUAAGUCAUAGGACACUGUGUUUCUAGCAGCCAAGUGGAAAGGUCGGAUUAAUGCAUGCAUGUACUCGAUUCCGCAUGGCCCGUUGCCCCUCGUGACGCAGCUACCCAUGGCCAAUUCAAUUAACCAGGCAGCAACUGGUGGCGUUCCUAAGUUCCAUAACCAUCCAUUGCAAACGACAGCUGCUCCAGACACGUCUCCCACCGUCCCCAUCCGGUUCCCCACCAGCCGGAAAUCCACCUCCAAAUGCGUACAACUUUGCCCAGGAGAACGGGAGUGGUGAAUGGUUAAUUUGGUUUGCGAAGGAUCUAAGAACCAUGGACCCUUAAAUGGCCCCUUGCAUAUGUGUACAUGUCUUCGCCAUGACUGGCAGUAGAUUUUAUCAAUUAACUGCAGAAAAGCUGGUAUUUCAUCAAGUCACACAAUGGUUCGUGGUUUUCGAUGAAUAUUCCAACCACCAGUGUCAUCCCACAACUUAGCUUCCUUCUGGGCUGCUCAUAUACUCGUAUGGAGUAUUUAUUGUUCGGUUCGGCUCAAUAAAUAUUAGCAACCUA
Molecule: long non-coding RNA, 970 nt
Organism: Drosophila yakuba
Lineage: Eukaryota; Metazoa; Arthropoda; Insecta; Diptera; Drosophilidae
Exons: 3
Source: RefSeq, a predicted model, not a curated record